This 21-nucleotide non-coding RNA is filed under the name Caenorhabditis elegans. Lineage: Eukaryota; Metazoa; Nematoda; Chromadorea; Rhabditida; Rhabditidae. The record is from RNAcentral.
UUAUUCGUUCUUAUCGUAUUU